GAUGAAGAACGCAGCGAAAUGCGAUACGUAAUGUGAAUUGCAGAAUUCAGUGGAUCAUCGAAUCUUUGAACGCAUAUUGCGCUCUUUGGUAUUCCGAAGAGCAUGCUUGUUUGAGUAUCAGUAAACACCUCAAAGCUUUUGGAUUUUUUAAUCGAAAAGCUUUGGACUUGAGCAAUCCCAACACCAAUCUUUUUGAGAUCGGUGGCGGGUUGCUUGAAAUGCAGGUGCAGCUGGACAUUCUCCUGAGCUAAAAGCAUAUUCAUUUAGUCCCGUCAAACGGAUUAUUACUUUUGCUGCAGCUAACAUAAAGGGAGUUUGACCGUAUUGGCUGACUGAUGCAGGAUUUCACAAGGGUCGGCAACGAUUCUUGUUAAACUCGAUCUCAAAUCAAGUAAGACUACCCGCUGAACUUAAGCAUAUCAAUAAGCGGAGGA
Molecule: unclassified non-coding RNA, 434 nt
Filed under: soil metagenome
Description: partial contains 5.8S ribosomal RNA, internal transcribed spacer 2, and large subunit ribosomal RNA
Rfam family: 5.8S ribosomal RNA (bases 1-120)
Source: RNAcentral